AAAAUGCUGUGAUGAAUCAUGAAAUCUACAACGUAUGUCAGACUUCAGAGAUGCCAUUUAGCAUUAAUGAGAAGAUAUUUCAUAUUCUGAGCAAUAA
Molecule: non-coding RNA, 97 nt
Organism: Triticum aestivum (bread wheat)
Lineage: Eukaryota; Viridiplantae; Streptophyta; Magnoliopsida; Poales; Poaceae
Source: Rfam